AACGAACGCUGGCGGCAGGCUUAACACAUGCAAGUCGAACGCAUCCUUCGGGGUGAGUGGCAGACGGGUGAGUAACACGUGGGAACGUACCUUUCGGUUCGGGAUAACCCACGGGAAACUUGGGCUAAUACCGGAUACGUCCUUUGGGAGAAAGAUUUAUUGCCGAGAGAUCGGCCCGCGUCUGAUUAGCUAGUUGGUGGGGUAAUGGCCCACCAAGGCGACGAUCAGUAGCUGGUCUGAGAGGAUGAUCAGCCACACUGGGACUGAGACACGGCCCAGACUCCUACGGGAGGCAGCAGUGGGGAAUAUUGGACAAUGGGCGCAAGCCUGAUCCAGCCAUGCCGCGUGAGUGAUGAAGGCCCUAGGGUU
RNAcentral lists this ribosomal RNA (369 nucleotides) under uncultured bacterium. RNAcentral's name for it is "bacterial SSU rRNA". It matches the Rfam family "Bacterial small subunit ribosomal RNA", at positions 29 to 424 of the family's 1533-position model. The record is from RNAcentral.